UCUGUUUCCCAGCUGCCCUUGCUGAAGGCACUGAUUGACAGGCUGCUGCAGGACGGCAUGGAGGAGCUUCUGCUGGAGCUAACCACCUCUAGGAGAGUCAAUGAGAAGGAGAAACACGGCUCCAACAUUAUCACUGACUACACAAGAACUGUAAAGUAUGAGAUGUCCAAGGAACCUCUGACAGAGAUGGACACCAUAGAGGAGGCAGUUGAUUCUGACCUAGACAGACAGCUACCAGAACCUAACUCUGAUGCUUUGGAUGAAACGGCGGAGGGCCCCACAUUCUGGAGCCUCACCACUCUUAAUGGUCUUAAUGGGGUCCAAGACGUGGGGAGGAUAGAGAGCACCUCUGAGGGGACACUGACAGUGGACGAGGACUUCAGUGAAGCUCCCUCGCCCAAGUUGACUUUAUCAAACUCAACAUUUAACAACACUACGUCUGAAGAGAGGGUCUCUGAGGUACCAGGGGCAAUAGUAGAAACUGUUCUCCUCAGUGGGGAAGACUCCUUGAAGAAAAAGAAGAGUCGAGAACGGAAGGGCAAGGGACAGAAAGGACGACAUAAGAGGCAAAGAGAACGUCUGACGAGUACGGAGGAGGAGGAGGAAGCGGAGGAGGAAGCGGAGGAGGAGGAAUUAUACGAUGGGGAAGAGUACAGUUAUGAAUAUGAGGAUUCCACAGAUGAUCCUUUAUUGUCAAUGGAAAAGCAAGGGGAGUUUCAAAUCACAACAGAAAGCACACUACAUGGAAUGAGCAAAGAGAGUGGCCUGACAACUUUAGGUCCAUAUCCAUCCCAGUCACCGGGUGACAGUGAAAAGCAGGGGGAAUUCAUCACACCUAUCCUUCCCAGCACAACGGAAGAAACAGAGAAGAUUUUCCCAAAAGAAAGCCCAGCCCAGUGUUCAGUAACAUGA
RNAcentral lists this long non-coding RNA (912 nucleotides) under Salmo trutta (river trout). RNAcentral's name for it is "lncRNA (ENSSTUG00000050196.1)". The record is from RNAcentral. Lineage: Eukaryota; Metazoa; Chordata; Actinopteri; Salmoniformes; Salmonidae.